GAGGGUUUAGCUCAGUGGCAGAGCGCGUGCCUAGCACGCACAAGGUCCUGGGUUCCAGCCACAGGACCGUCA
Molecule: transfer RNA, 72 nt
Filed under: Camelus bactrianus (Bactrian camel)
Lineage: Eukaryota; Metazoa; Chordata; Mammalia; Artiodactyla; Camelidae
Also listed under: 2 other names
Rfam family: tRNA
About the family: Transfer RNA (tRNA) molecules are approximately 80 nucleotides in length.
Source: Rfam by way of RNAcentral